RNAcentral lists this ribosomal RNA (274 nucleotides) under uncultured bacterium. RNAcentral describes it as "partial 16S ribosomal RNA". It matches the Rfam family "Bacterial small subunit ribosomal RNA", at positions 523 to 796 of the family's 1533-position model. The record is from RNAcentral.
AUACGAAAGGUGCAAGCGUUGUUCGGAUUUACUGGGCGUAAAGAGAGUGUAGGUUGUUUAUUAAGUCGGAUGUGAAAUCCCGGGGCUCAACCUCGGAACUGCAUUCGAUACUGAUAGGCUAGAGUUUGGGAGGGGUAAGCGGAAUUCCGUGUGUAGCACUGAAAUGCGUAGAUAUACGGAGGAACACCUGAGGCGAAGGCGGCUUACUGGACCAAUACUGACACUGAGACUCGAAAGCGUGGGUAGCAAACAGGAUUAGAUACCCUAGUAGUCC